AGCCGCCUAGAGGCCCCAGCCGCCGAGCGCUUCGUCCCGGCCCUAAGUCUCGGAGACUGGCCAAGAUCACCGCUUGCACCGCGCUGUUGGGCGAGGCCCGGUCCCGUCUCUUUCCCAGGCCUGAGAUUCUCGCCCGGCACGGCCGCCCUGAGCGCCCCGGCCACCCCCAGCCCCGGCUCGCCCCUCAGGCCCCGGGCCUCCCCUCAACCCCCGGCCGGCGGCCCAGGCCCCGGAUCCGCGGGGGGGGACCCGGCCCCGGGGGGUGCGGGCCCCAUGGAGCUGAUGUUUGCAGAGUGGGAGGACGGAGAGCGCUUCUCAUUCGAGGAUUCGGACCGUUUUGAGGAGGAUUCACUCUGUUCCUUCAUCUCCGAGGCCGAGAGCCUCUGCCAGAACUGGCGGGGAUGGCGCAAACAGUCAGCGGGGCCCAAUUCCCCCACUGGCGGCGGUGGCGGAGGUGGCAGUGGCGGUACCAGAAUGCGAGAUGGACUGGUGAUCCCAUUGGUGGAGCUGUCAGCAAAGCAGGUGGCAUUUCAUAUCCCAUUUGAAGUGGUGGAGAAAGUUUACCCACCAGUGCCUGAGCAGCUACAGCUCCGAAUUGCUUUUUGGAGCUUCCCUGAGAAUGAAGAGGACAUUCGGCUGUAUUCGUGCCUGGCCAAUGGCAGUGCGGAUGAGUUUCAGCGAGGGGAUCAGCUCUUCCGCAUGCGGGCUGUGAAGGACCCAUUGCAGAUAGGGUUCCACCUGAGUGCUACAGUGGUGCCACCUCAGAUGGUCCCUCCUAAAGGGGCCUACAACGUGGCUGUGAUGUUUGACCGCUGCCGGGUCACUUCCUGCAGCUGUACCUGUGGGGCUGGGGCCAAAUGGUGCACCCACGUCGUGGCACUCUGUCUCUUCCGCAUCCACAACGCUUCUGCAGUCUGCCUGCGAGCCCCAGUCUCAGAGUCCCUGUCCCGGCUACAGAGGGACCAGCUGCAAAAGUUUGCUCAGUACCUCAUCAGUGAGCUCCCUCAGCAGAUCCUCCCCACAGCUCAGCGUCUCCUGGACGAACUCCUGUCUUCCCAGUCAACAGCCAUCAAUACAGUGUGUGGAGCUCCGGACCCCACAGCAGGGCCCUCAGCAUCGGACCAGAGUACUUGGUAUCUGGAUGAAUCGACACUCACUGACAACAUCAAAAAGACACUGCACAAGUUCUGUGGCCCCUCCCCUGUGGUCUUCAGUGAUGUGAACUCCAUGUAUCUGUCUUCCACGGAGCCGCCAGCCGCUGCUGAAUGGGCAUGUCUGCUGCGCCCUCUGAGGGGCCGUGAGCCAGAGGGCGUCUGGAACCUGCUAAGCAUUGUGCGGGAGAUGUUCAAGCGGAGGGACAGCAAUGCUGCCCCCUUGUUGGAAAUCCUCACUGACCAGUGCCUCACCUAUGAACAGAUAACAGGUUGGUGGUAUAGCGUACGUACCUCAGCCUCACACAGCAGUGCCAGUGGGCACACGGGCCGUAGCAACGGGCAGUCAGAGGUGGCAGCCCAUGCCUGUGCCAGCAUGUGUGACGAGAUGGUCACACUGUGGAGGCUGGCCGUGCUGGACCCUGCACUCAGCCCCCAGCGGCGCCGGGAACUGUGUACGCAGCUGCGGCAGUGGCAACUGAAGGUGAUUGAGAACGUCAAGCGGGGCCAACACAAGAAGACGCUGGAGCGGCUCUUCCCCGGCUUCCGGCCAGCGGUGGAGGCCUGCUACUUCAACUGGGAAGAGGCCUACCCACUUCCUGGUGUCACCUACAGCGGCACUGACAGGAAGCUGGCACUGUGCUGGGCCCGGGCCCUGCCCUCUCGGCCAGGUGCCUCCCGCUCUGGGGGCCUGGAGGAAUCCCGGGACCGGCCCCGACCCCUUCCUACUGAGCCAGCUGUGCGGCCCAAGGAGCCUGGGACCAAGCGAAAGGGCUUGGGUGAGGGGGUCCCCUCAUCACAGCGGGGUCCCCGCCGCCUCUCAGCUGAAGGGGGAGAUAAAGCUCUACAUAAGAUGGGUCCAGGUGGGGGCAAAGCCAAGGCACUGGGUGGGGCUGGCAGUGGGAGCAAGGGCUCAGCAGGUGGCGGAAGCAAGCGACGGCUGAGCAGCGAAGACAGCUCCCUGGAGCCAGACCUGGCCGAGAUGAGCCUGGAUGACAGCAGCCUGGCCCUGGGCGCAGAGGCCAGCACCUUCGGGGGAUUCCCUGAGAGCCCUCCACCCUGUCCUCUCCACGGUGGCUCCCGAGGCCCUUCCACUUUCCUUCCUGAGCCCCCAGAUACUUAUGAAGAAGAUGGUGGUGUGUACUUCUCGGAAGGGCCUGAGCCUCCCACAGCCUCUGUUGGCCCCCCUGGCCUACUGCCUGGGGAUGUCUGUACCCAGGACGACCUCCCUUCUACAGAUGAGAGUGGCAAUGGGCUUCCCAAAACCAAAGAGGCAGCCCCUGCAGUUGGAGAGGAGGAUGAUGACUACCAGGCGUACUAUCUGAAUGCCCAGGAUGGGGCUGGGGGCGAGGAAGAGAAGGCCGAGGGCGGGGCUGGGGAGGAGCACGACCUGUUUGCUGGGCUGAAGCCACUGGAACAGGAGAGUCGCAUGGAGGUACUGUUUGCCUGUGCUGAGGCCCUGCAUGCGCAUGGCUAUAGCAGUGAGGCCUCCCGUCUCACUGUGGAGCUUGCCCAGGAUCUGCUAGCCAACCCACCCGACCUCAAGGUAGAGCCGCCCCCUGCCAAGGGCAAGAAGAACAAGGUAUCCACGAGCCGUCAGACCUGGGUGGCUACCAACACCCUGAGCAAGGCGGCCUUCCUGUUGACAGUGCUAAGUGAGCGUCCAGAGCACCACAACCUGGCCUUCCGAGUUGGCAUGUUUGCCUUGGAGCUACAGAGGCCUCCAGCUUCUACCAAGGCCUUGGAGGUGAAGCUGGCAUACCAGGAGUCUGAGGUGGCUGCCCUGCUCAAGAAGAUCCCUCUGGGUCCAAGUGAGAUGAGUACCAUGCGGUGCCGGGCAGAGGAACUUCGGGAGGGGACACUCUGUGACUAUCGGCCUGUGUUGCCUCUCAUGCUGGCCAGUUUCAUCUUUGACGUUCUCUGUGCUCCAGUGGUUUCUCCCACAGGUUCCCGGCCCCCAAGUCGCAACUGGAACAGCGAGACACCUGGGGAUGAGGAGCUUGGAUUUGAAGCAGCAGUUGCUGCCUUGGGCAUGAAGACAACAGUGAGCGAGGCAGAACAUCCCCUCUUAUGUGAAGGCACACGUCGGGAGAAGGGUGACCUGGCAUUAGCACUAAUGAUCACUUACAAGGACGACCAGGCCAAGCUUAAGAAGCCUGGGCAACAGAGCGAGACCCUGUCUCUUAAAAAAAAAAGAAGAAGAAGAAAAAAAGAAAAGUGCUCUUCUGCCCAUAGGAGAUCUUAGACAAACUCUUGGACCGAGAGAGCCAGACACAUAAGCCACAGACGCUGAGUUCUUUCUACUCAUCUAGCCGCCCAACCACAGCCAGCCAGAGGUCUCCUUCAAAGCACGGGGGCCCAUCUGCCCCAGGGGCCCUGCAACCACUGACCUCAGGCUCUGCAGGGCCUGCUCAACCAGGGAGUGUGGCAGGGGCUGGGCCAGGCCCCACUGAGGGCUUCACAGAGAAGAAUGUGCCUGAGAGUUCCCCACAUUCCCCCUGUGAGGGUCUUCCAUCUGAGGCAGCUUUGACCCCAAGGCCAGAAGGGAAGGUUCCUAGCCGCUUGGCACUUGGCAGUCGUGGAGGCUAUAAUGGACGGGGAUGGGGGUCCCCAGGACGGCCUAAGAAGAAGCACACAGGCAUGGCCAGCAUUGACAGCAGUGCCCCUGAAACAACAUCGGAUAGUUCCCCCACCUUAAGCCGGAGACCACUUCGAGGGGGCUGGGCCCCCACCUCCUGGGGUCGAGGUCAGGACAGUGACAGCAUUAGCAGCUCUUCUUCGGACUCCCUGGGCUCCUCAUCCUCCAGUGGAAGUCGCCGGGCCAGUGCCAGUGGAGGAGCCCGGGCGAAGACUGUUGAAGUUGGCAGGUACAAGGGCCGCCGCCCCGAGAGUCAUGCCCCUCAUGUACCCAAUCAGCCAUCAGAGGCAGCUGCACACUUCUACUUCGAGCUGGCGAAGACAGUGCUGAUCAAGGCAGGGGGCAACAGCAGCACUUCCAUUUUCACACAUCCAUCUUCCUCAGGGGGCCACCAGGGUCCUCACCGCAACCUGCACCUUUGCGCCUUCGAGAUUGGGCUUUAUGCCCUUGGCCUGCACAACUUUGUUUCUCCCAACUGGCUCUCACGUACUUAUUCUUCCCACGUUUCCUGGAUUACAGGCCAGGCCAUGGAGAUAGGCAGCGCAGCCCUGACUAUACUGGUAGAAUGCUGGGAUGGGCACCUGACACCCCCUGAGGUUGCAUCCCUGGCUGACAGGGCAUCACGGGCAAGAGACUCCAAUAUGGUGAGGGCGGCAGCAGAGCUGGCCCUGAGCUGCCUGCCUCACGCCCAUGCAUUGAACCCUAAUGAGAUCCAGCGGGCCCUGGUGCAGUGCAAGGAACAGGACAACCUGAUGUUGGAGAAGGCCUGCAUGGCAGUGGAAGAGGCAGCUAAGGGUGGGGGCGUGUACCCUGAAGUGUUGUUUGAGGUUGCUCACCAGUGGUUCUGGCUGUAUGAGCAAACUGCAGGUGGCUCAUCCACAGCCCGUGAAGGGGCUACAAGCUGUAGUGCCAGUGGGAUCAGGGCAGGUGGGGAAGCUGGGCGGGGUAUGCCUGAGGGUAGAGGGGGCCCAGGGACUGAGCCGGUUACAGUGGCAGCGGCAGCAGUGACAGCAGCAGCCACAGUGGUGCCCGUCAUAUCGGUGGGGUCUAGUUUAUACCCGGGUCCAGGACUGGGGCAUGGCCACUCCCCUGGCCUGCACCCCUACACUGCUCUACAGCCCCACCUGCCCUGUAGCCCUCAGUAUCUCACUCACCCAGCUCACCCUGCCCACCCCAUGCCUCACAUGCCCCGGCCUGCCGUCUUCCCUGUGCCCAGCUCUGCAUACCCACAGGGUGUGCAUCCUGCAUUCCUAGGGGCUCAGUACCCUUAUUCAGUGACUCCUCCCUCACUUGCUGCCACUGCUGUGUCUUUCCCCGUUCCUUCCAUGGCACCCAUCACAGUACAUCCCUACCACACAGAGCCAGGGCUUCCACUGCCCACCAGUGUGGCCUUGAGCAGUGUCCAUCCAGCAUCCACGUUUCCAGCCAUCCAAGGUGCCUCACUGCCUGCCCUGACCACACAGCCCAGCCCUCUGGUGAGCGGAGGUUUUCCACCGCCCGAGGAGGAGACACACAGUCAGCCAGUCAAUCCCCACAGCCUGCACCACCUGCAUGCUGCCUACCGUGUCGGAAUGCUGGCACUGGAGAUGCUGGGUCGCCGGGCACACAACGAUCACCCCAACAACUUCUCCCGCUCCCCCCCCUACACUGAUGAUGUCAAAUGGUUGCUGGGGCUGGCAGCAAAGCUGGGAGUGAACUACGUGCACCAGUUCUGUGUGGGGGCAGCCAAGGGGGUGCUGAGCCCGUUUGUGCUGCAGGAGAUCGUCAUGGAGACGCUGCAGCGGCUGAGUCCCGCUCAUGCCCACAACCACCUGCGUGCCCCGGCCUUCCACCAACUGGUGCAGCGCUGCCAGCAGGCAUACAUGCAGUACAUCCACCACCGCUUGAUUCACCUGACUCCUGCGGACUACGACGACUUUGUGAAUGCGAUCCGGAGUGCCCGCAGCGCCUUCUGCCUGACGCCCAUGGGCAUGAUGCAGUUCAACGACAUCCUACAGAACCUCAAGCGCAGCAAACAGACCAAGGAGCUGUGGCAGCGGGUCUCACUCGAGAUGGCCACCUUCUCCCCCUGAGUCUUUCACCCUUAGGGUCCUAUACAGGGACCCAGGCCUGUGGCUAUGGGGGCCCCUCACACAGGGGGAGUGAAACUUGGCUGGACAGAUCAUCCUCACUCAGUUCCCUGGUAGCACAGACUGACAGCUGCUCUUGGGCUAUAGCUUGGGGCCAAGAUGUCUCACACCCUAGAAGCCUAGGGCUGGGGGAGACAGCCCUGUCUGGGAGGGGGCGUUGGGUGGCCUCUGGUAUUUAUUUGGCAUUUAUAAAUAUAUAAACUCCUUUUUUACUCUA
This is an RNA transcript of Homo sapiens (human), 6135 nucleotides long. It is a transcript of the gene named zinc finger SWIM-type containing 8, with no coding region annotated. The record is from RefSeq and is marked validated. NCBI's taxonomy places the organism in Eukaryota, Metazoa, Chordata, Mammalia, Primates, Hominidae. The transcript has 27 exons.